UCAUGCUGAAAAGAGCGUAUGGUGGAUGCCUUGGCACUAAGAGCCGAUGAAAGACGUGAUAAGCUGCGAAAAGCUUCGGGGAGGAGCAAAUAUCCAAUGAUCCGGAGAUCUCUGAAUGGGGAAACCCACUUGAGCAAACCUCAAGUAUCCUAACGCCAAUCCAUAACGUUAGGAAGGGAACCCGGUGAACUGAAACAUCUAAGUAGCCGGAGGAAGAGAAAACAACAUGUGAUUCCGGAAGUAGCGGCGAGCGAAACCGGAAGAGCCCAAACCGGGAUGCGUGCAUCCCGGGGUUCGGACCGCAGAAUUGAUUCAAGAGUCUUAGCAGAAUGGUUUUGGGAAAGCCAGCCAGAGAGGGUGAAAGCCCCGUAAGCGAAAGGACGAUUGACAAGGCGGUAUCCAGAGUAGGUCGAGACACGUGGAACCUUGACUGAACACGCGGGGACCACCCCGUAAGGCUAAAUACUCCUUAGUGACCGAUAGCGCAUAGUACUGUGAAGGAACGGUGAAAAGGACCCCGGGAGGGGAGUGAAAAAGAACCUGAAACCAUAUGUUUACAAGCUGUGGAACCACUAUAAAUGUGGAACCGCGUACUUUUUGUAGAACGGUCCGGCGAGUUGCGCCGGCUGGCGAGGUUAAAUCCUACAGGGAUGGAGCCGAAGGGAAACCAAGUCUUAAUAGGGCCAGAGUCAGUCGGAGCAGACCCGAAACCGGGUGAUCUAUCCAUGUCCAGGUUGAAGUUGCCGUAAAAGGCAAUGGAGGACCGAACCCACAUCCGUUGAAAAGGGUGGGGAUGAGGUGUGGAUAGGGGAGAAAUUCCAAUCGAACCCGGAGAUAGCUGGUUCUCCUCGAAAUAGCUUUAGGGCUAGCCUCAUACAAGUCUUGCGGAGGUAGAGCACUGAAUUUCCUAGGGGGCGUCAAAGCUUACCGAAGAAUAUCAAACUCCGAAUGCCGCGUAGAUGAUGUAUGGGAGUCAGACUGCACGAGAUAAGUUGGGUAGUCGAAAGGGAAAGAGCCCAGACCUGCAGCUAAGGUCCCAAAAUGUGUGUUAAGUGGAAAAGGAUGUGGGAUUUCGAAGACAACUAGGAUGUUGGCUCAGAAGCAGCCAUACAUUCAAAGAGUGCGUAAUAGCUCACUAGUCGAGAGGUCCUGCGCCGAAAAUGUCCGGGGCUGAAACACACUACCGAAGCUCAGGAAUCAACGAAUGUUGAUUGGUAGAGGAGCAUUGGAUACGAGACGAAGCAGUACCGAUAAGGAGCUGUGGAUUGUAUCGAAGAGAGAAUGCCGGAAUGAGUAGCGAGAGGAAGGUGAGAAUCCUUCCGGCCGAAUAUCUAAGGUUUCCAGAGUAAAGCUGAUCUGCUCUGGGUAAGUCGGGGCCUAAGGCGAGGCCGAGAGGCGUAGUCGAUGGACAACAGGUUGAGAUUCCUGUACCUUAAGUAAACAGAACUGUGGGGACACGUGAGGAGAGCACAAGCCGGGAAUGGAAAGACCGGUGCAAGCGAGGUAGGAGUGCAGCUGGCAAAUCCGCUGUACAAUCUGAAGACGUGAUGCGGACCGAAUAAAGAGUAGGGAAGUGUGUGAGCCAUGCGUCAAGAAAAGCCGCUAUUGUUUUACUUAAGCCCGUACCGUAAACCGACACAGGUGGAUGAGGAGAGAAUCCUAAGGCCGACGGGAGAAGCAUUGUUAAGGAACUCGGCAAAAUGACUCCGUAACUUCGGGAGAAGGAGUGCCAGUGAAAGCUGGCCGCAGAGAAUUGGCCCAAGCAACUGUUUAGCAAAAACACAGGUCUAUGCAAAACCGAAAGGUGAAGUAUAUGGGCUGACGCCUGCCCGGUGCUGGAAGGUUAAGGGGAGAGGUUAGCGGUAACGCGAAGCUUUGAACUUAAGCCCCAGUAAACGGCGGCCGUAACUAUAACGGUCCUAAGGUAGCGAAAUUCCUUGUCGGGUAAGUUCCGACCCGCACGAAAGGCGUAAUGAUUUGGGCACUGUCUCAACAAUGCACCCGGUGAAAUUGAAAUACCAGUGAAGAUGCUGGUUACCUGCGCCAGGACGGAAAGACCCCAUGGAGCUUUACUCCAGCUUGAUACUGGGAUUCGAUAUUGCAUGUACAGGAUAGGUGGGAGACUUUGAAC
This 2131-nucleotide ribosomal RNA is filed under the name human gut metagenome. RNAcentral describes it as "bacterial LSU rRNA". It matches the Rfam family "Bacterial large subunit ribosomal RNA", at positions 1 to 2162 of the family's 2925-position model. The record is from RNAcentral.